AUGACUUCCUGGGAUCCUCUGAAGGGAGAGCCGCUCUGUUUGGGCUGAGCAGGUGCCUUGCACAGCUGUCAAAGGAACGGCAUGCAAUUGUAAUGCUGGAUGCGGUGCUGCACAUUAUGUUUCACUAGAAAUGAAAUCAGCUAAAGAAACAUAGUCCCUACCUGAGCAAUGAAAACUGGAAUCAUCCAGUAGGCCGAAUGUCGCAUAUUUUAACUCCGUUAAAUCACUUGGCAAAAAACAGCUGCAAAAUGGUAAGUACUCAACAAUUAUCCAUUUUAUUUUUACUGUAUAUAGAGUGAUAAGGAAGUUUGAUAAGGUUUAAUAAAAUACUUAUAAACAAAUAUAUUACA
Molecule: long non-coding RNA, 350 nt
Filed under: Oryctolagus cuniculus (rabbit)
Lineage: Eukaryota; Metazoa; Chordata; Mammalia; Lagomorpha; Leporidae
Description: lncRNA (ENSOCUG00000032457.1)
Source: RNAcentral